CCUACGGGAGGCAGCAGUGAGGAAUAUUGGUCAAUGGUCGGGAGACUGAACCAGCCAAGCCGCGUGAGGGAGGAAGGUACAGAGUAUCGUAAACCUCUUUUGUCAGGGAACAAAGGCGGGGACGUGUCCCCGGAUGAGUGUACCUGAAGAAAAAGCAUCGGCUAACUCCGUGCCAGCAGCCGCGGUAAUACGGAGGAUGCGAGCGUUAUCCGGAUUUAUUGGGUUUAAAGGGUGCGCGGGCGGUCUGUUAAGUCAGCGGUCAAAGCCCGGGGCUCAACCCGGGCCCGCCGUUGAAACUGGCAGUCUCGAGUUGGAGAGAAGUAUGCGGAAUGCGCGGUGGAGCGGUGAAAUGCAUAGAUAUCGCGCAGAACUCCGAUUGCGAAGGCAGCAUGCCGGCUCCACACUGACGCUGAGGCACGAAAGCGAGGGUAGCGAACAGGAUUAGAUACCCGAGUAGUC
This 459-nucleotide ribosomal RNA is filed under the name uncultured bacterium. Its description in RNAcentral is "partial 16S ribosomal RNA". It matches the Rfam family "Bacterial small subunit ribosomal RNA", at positions 338 to 795 of the family's 1533-position model. The record is from RNAcentral.